UUCUAUAUAUAUAUAUAUUAUUUUUGUUUUUUCCUUUAAUUACUCAAAAGUUACAAUCAAAAUCUAUAUAGCGAAGAUCAAUUAAACAAGACAAGUUAAAAUGGGCAGAAGCAAAAGCAGAACUUGUAGAUAUCAGCUGUUGUAUGCAAAAGGGGAUGACAACGAAGAAGACUUUUACUAACAUCUUUAACGAAUUUUCUAAUGUCUUUCGAGAAGAUGGAAUCGAAACUGUACAAAAAAGUCCCAGUACAUCUGUAAUUCUAACAAAAUAAAUAGAAGAAAAGAACGAAUAAUAAAUAGACAACAUUAAUAAAAA
RNAcentral lists this long non-coding RNA (316 nucleotides) under Polistes fuscatus (common paper wasp). Its description in RNAcentral is "uncharacterized LOC122513350". The record is from RNAcentral. Lineage: Eukaryota; Metazoa; Arthropoda; Insecta; Hymenoptera; Vespidae.